RNAcentral lists this non-coding RNA (27 nucleotides) under Mus musculus (house mouse). The record is from RNAcentral. Lineage: Eukaryota; Metazoa; Chordata; Mammalia; Rodentia; Muridae.
UACAUUGGGGAUGCCAAUGCUUGGAGG